This 688-nucleotide ribosomal RNA is filed under the name Silanimonas sp. TH224. Its description in RNAcentral is "bacterial SSU rRNA". It matches the Rfam family "Bacterial small subunit ribosomal RNA", at positions 63 to 748 of the family's 1533-position model. Lineage: Bacteria; Pseudomonadati; Pseudomonadota; Gammaproteobacteria; Lysobacterales; Lysobacteraceae. The record is from RNAcentral.
CGAGCGGCAGCGCGGGGCAACCUGGCGGCGAGCGGCGGACGGGUGAGGAAUUCGUCGGAAUCUGCCUUUUUGUGGGGGAUAACGUAGGGAAACUUACGCUAAUACCGCAUACGACCUACGGGUGAAAGUGGGGGACCGCAAGGCCUCACGCAGAAAGAUGAGCCGACGACCGAUUAGCUAGUUGGUAGGGUAAAGGCCUACCAAGGCGACGAUCGGUAGCUGGUCUGAGAGGAUGAUCAGCCACACUGGGACUGAGACACGGCCCAGACUCCUACGGGAGGCAGCAGUGGGGAAUAUUGGACAAUGGGCGCAAGCCUGAUCCAGCCAUGCCGCGUGUGUGAAGAAGGCCUUCGGGUUGUAAAGCACUUUUGUCCGGAAAGAAAUCCUUCAACUUAAUACGUUGGGGGGAUGACGGUACCGGAAGAAUAAGCACCGGCUAACUUCGUGCCAGCAGCCGCGGUAAUACGAAGGGUGCAAGCGUUACUCGGAAUUACUGGGCGUAAAGCGUGCGUAGGCGGUUCGUUAAGUCUGACGUGAAAUCCCCGGGCUCAACCUGGGACGUGCGUUGGAAACUGGCGAUCUAGAGUACGGUAGAGGGUGGUGGAAUUCCCGGUGUAGCAGUGAAAUGCGUAGAGAUCGGGAGGAACACUCGUGGCGAAGGCGGCCACCUGGACCAGUACUGACGCUG